This 7496-nucleotide long non-coding RNA is filed under the name Selaginella moellendorffii. Its description in RNAcentral is "long non-coding RNA (SMOE_LNC002421)". The record is from RNAcentral. Lineage: Eukaryota; Viridiplantae; Streptophyta; Lycopodiopsida; Selaginellales; Selaginellaceae.
UCACUUCCAACUUCACGCAGGUACAAAAGCUUUAAGGCAGCGCUGCAAAACAUCAGAGAUCUGCGUUGUAGGGAGGCUUCCUACACCCGAACGGAUUGGUAACCUGGAGAAGAGAAGUCACCGCUGCUCUGCCAAGUGCAGCGAGGUUUUCGUAAAACCCCGGCUUGCAGCUUCUAAAAUCUGGAACCUUUCCACGUAAAUUCUGGCUGUCCUUGCUCCAAGAAUCGGUAUGGAGCUGUUCUCACAUCUCGUUUACACUCUAAACUUCCGAUCGAUCAGGUGGAGCUGCUGGAAUGGCCGGAGCAAGUGCUGGUUAGCGAGUCCGAAACAAACACUCUACUCUGCUGCCUCCAGGAACUCUUCCUCGCCAGGGACCGCCUAGAGAACGACAUCCUAGGCACCGCAGAGCCUGGCGCUGUGGAUCGCCUGAGAUUGGCGCUGGCAUCCAACUUGGGCCGUGCCAUCUUGCAAAGCUGAUCGUUUCUACGAAGGUAGGAUUUCUUCUUGAACUGUACAAUUCAGAAGCGUGAGUCUAAUUAAGCAAGUAGUUUGACCGUAGAACUUCGCUAAAAGUCAACUUUUAGUCAACAGAGUCUUCAGUUAUUGGAAGUGUUAGCUUUUCAUUGAUUUUCAUACUUGAACUCAGCAAUUAAUCUAUACAUAUAUACGGCUACAUUGAUUUGUUAGUCACCCUCAAAACCCAGCACUAAUGUCGGGUUUUUAAAGCUUAAGCUGUUUUUUAAGUUGAAUAAUUUAUCAUGCCUUAAAAGCAUAUGAAACAAUUGUCUGCAUGGCAGCAUUGGGUCAAAAGCUAAACUACUGCACCAAAGGAGGUUUGGUGUUUUCUACUAUGUUAGGCAUUAAGUCAGGAUAAUAGAAUAAAGAAAUGGCAUUACACACCCCUUUACUCAGUUGGGUUUAAGGUAGGAUUGUAACAUUAAUAUUGGAGCUUAAUUCAAUUUUUUAUGGCUAACAAGUGGGGCUCUGAAAUAAUAUUUAACAUGGUGGAUCUAAAGGAAGAAGCAAAGUCUAAUAGAUCCUAAAAAAAGGUGACAGGAGGGUGAUUCUUCUUCUAGUGUACACUUCUGAAAGUGAAUUGCAAUGGCAACCAUGGCGACAAUGCAGGGAGCCUUUGGUUCAUUGAAGGAGAUUGGUGACAUUGUGGCGAAUUUUGAUUUCAGCAAGGUAAAGUGGAACCUGUCUUGCCCAAAGCAGUGCUUAACUCCUUGUGGAAUGCUCCAGAGUGAUGUGCGUUCCAAGAGUUCUGAGGAUUACCUCCACACCAACCUGGCACCAUCGUUUGGGGCAUUGAAUGCAGAAACAGUGAAGAAGAUGGAUGAGGUUCUCAAGGUUUGCAUCUCGGGAACCACCACUCUUCUCGCCAAAGUGCCACCAGAAGAGCGAACUUGGGAGAAGGUCAACUCCAUGUUCAUGCAAAAUCCCUUGGUUGAGCCAAUGGGCGAUGGGGUUAACAGAGCUGACAAGUUUCUCAACAAACUCACAAAGGAUCACAUUUUUUAUGGAGUUAUUGUGAAAGCAGUAAUAGAAGUUAUAUAUUAUAGAAGAGCUCUAUUAACCUUUGCUGCCUUCUCUCGUCACAGCUUCAGACCUGGUUUGUGAAUCUGAUUGCAGAUGAGGACGUCCUGAAAUCAACCAAGAUCGACAUAAGUUCUUUGGGAAAUUCUUGCUCAGUCUGCCAAGCAUGAGCACCACGAGAAGACCAUAGUUGACAUCGUGGUCUUAAGGUACCCUAAUAUGCAAAACGUACUUCAAGGUUUGUGCCCAGGCUGCCCUUUGUAUUUCAGUCACAGCUCAUGCUUAUGAGUACAGGUGUACCGCAUCAAACUCUUUGCUUGGUCUGAUAGCAACCGUAUUCUGUUCCAUCAGGAGGAUUCCAAUGGCAUCACUGGAGGUGAGGUGUCUAAUGUAAACCACUGAAAACUGCACGGUCCUUUUGUUCUAUUUGCAGAGUUCACCUUCCGUAAGUUUAAGCCACGCAAGGAGGUCAUUGACAAGAUGAACCCAGACGCCAAAAAGAAGGCUGUGGAAGCUGCAGAUAACAUAUUUGGUUUCUAAUAUCCAGGCUGUGUCAAUUGAGCCAAGAUGCCCCCUGCUUCAAGCUAAAACAUAUUUCUAAAUAAUAAUCAAGUCAUAUCCCCUCAUGACUUUCAUUUACUUGAAAAUAACAGUCUUUAUAUUUUUUAACCUCAAUUUCUGAAAAAAAACGUUCAGGGAAACAACACAAACUACAAUAAAAGUAAUAAAUAUCUAAAACCUAGAUGCUUUGAAGUACUUUUGUCAAUGUAGCAAAUUUUUGCCUUCCACUGGAACAUUGAAAGGUGAUGAUAAGUUUAUCUAUCUAUCUAUAUACUGUUUAUAGUCUUGUGGUGCCCAUCAAGAAGCAUAAGUAUUCUUUGUGAUAUAUUAAUAAAACAAAACAAGAGACAUUAUCAUUAUCCUGUUGGUCUCUGUAAAUUCUUCGCGCUCAAGGUAAGUUACCACAAGUUAGCCAGGGACACGCUCAAUCAGCUCUAAGCCGAGUUGAUGGCUCGGCUGUGAGUGCCAUUUGGCUCUCUAUCUAGUGCCGGAUUUUCCCAUCCUAUUGCUUUGAUGCAAAUGACCCCAGGAACACUGUGGCAAUAAUAUUGUAGAGCAACAAGGUCUCUCAGACAAGGUAAUAUUUAAAUUGACUUUGACAAGGAACAAAACUUCGAGAAUAGAACUUCAGAGAAUGCUACUGGGCGUUUUUGUUGCAAACGACUUGGCACAGUGCAGCCAGUGCUGAUGGAACAAAGGCAAACCGUUGAGCUUUUCCUCCUGUAACUCACGAACUUUGUCGUGAGCAUAUUGUAAGUUUCCUUUGGCAAAUGCCUACGUACUGAUCAGUUGUUUCAGGCUAUUUCGGCAGCACAUCACAGGUGUGACAUCUCCUGCUAUGGUCCUAGAGAUCUACUCCGGGAGUAGAUUUCUCGCUUGUUCAAGACGAUCCAGAUGUUAAGACAGUUGUAAAUUUUUAGAUUAAUUGUUCCUAGUGUUCCUCUAACAUGGUGCUGUUUGGGUUUGAAAUCUGGUAAGCUAAAUGCGCAGGCCAUGCAUUUUGUAGAAUGUAUCCAAUCUUUCCAAAACAGCAACUUCCCUUUUUUCUUUUCUUACUUUCUUGUCCAGCUGAGAACACCUAUAGUUUCAUAAUAAAAACCAUUACAUUCUAGAAAAUCCAUUAAAAAGGAAAUGCAUGUUUCAUUGGAUGAAUGGAAAGAAACAGAAGCUUCAUUCCCAGAUGCAUCUCUCCAGAUAUGACAGACAUGACGAGGUAGUAGCAAAAAAUUACAAACACAAUAGUUCCUAGCAAGCCUGAAAGGAAGGAAACAAUUCCCGGCAUUGUCAAGCUGAAUAAAAACUUGUUCAGAAACGAAGGAGUUGGAGGAUUAACAAGCAUGAAAAAAAUGAUGUGGAGAAGCCAAAUUAAAGACAAAGCCAAAUUGCAACAAGAGAAAUAAUAAGAUUGAAUCUUUUUCUCAAGGACUUUCUUACCCGAAAAUGCCAAAAACAAGCUUGGCUAGGUAGAAGAGAACCAUUGUGUCUGCCUGAGAGAAAACCAACAGUAGAAUCAACACAAAACUUAAAUGGUAAACUAGAAUGGUACUUUCUCUUGCUGUGGGAAUGCCUUGUUCAGAACUUGAACAUCAUCUAAAAAGGAAAUCACUGCAACACACUUUACUUCUCUCCCCUUAAGCCAAUUGGAAAAGAAGCAAUUAUUUGAUUUAGUGGCUAUUUUAUCCCUAUUUAUCCCCCAAGAUUCCAAGGAUCCAUAGUGACAGUAUAUCUAAAUCUCAUCCCAUGAUCACAUGUGUUAUACUCACCCCCCUUUCAAAAAUGUUAAUAUCCUCAUUGACUAUUGAUUAACAACCCCUACUGAGCCAAGGGAAACUAACACCUUCAUUUCUACAUUGAAUCUACCAAUCCUUCUAUGGUGUAGACUAGUUAUUCCAUGUGAGGCAACUAGUCAUCCACCCUAUUUAUUCCCCAAGGUUCCAUAUGAGGCAAUUAGUCAUCCACCUUAUUUAUCCCCCAAGGUUCCAAGGAUCCACAGUGACAAUAUAUCCAAAUCUCAUCAUAUGAUCACAUGUGUUACAAUCAUAUCUUCUAAAAAAUAAAACAUAAAACAACAUUACCAUGAAGAGUAUUGAUCCUAUUAUUGUGUUUAAUGCGAUCACGUAAGUUGGGAAGGGUGCACGCACAGACCACGUAGUUUUAACCAGAGAUCCAGACGUAUAAGCUACACACUGUCACACAAUAUUGCCAGAUGAAUGAAGAAAGGGAAAAUGUAGAAGAAAAGGCUUACCAUGAGAGUAACAUUAAAAGGCAAUGAGAAACCAGUCGAAAACAAGCAUGGAGCCUUUGCAUUGAACAAGCUAAAAUCAUUGGUGAACGCCAGCGUCGUGGAUGAAAGACGUCUCACGGUGAAAUUGGCAUAGCCGAUCACAGCUUCAAGCAAUCACGUAGAAGAAGGGUUUAAGAACAAAAGAUGGAAAAGAGCUUCUUACCAUAGAGAAUUCCCAAGAGGAGGCAGAAGACUGUGAGGAGUAUCACCACCCACAAGAGAGCGUUCUUUACCCUUUGUGUCACAGUCCUGGAAAUCACCAAGAACAAAGAAAAUUUUUGAGAUCAUGGAGGAAUAGAAAGAACUUAAGAAACUCUAGGAGGAGCUCGGUCGAUCAAGUGUUCUAAGAACAAGAACAAAGAGAUGGAAGAUUACUUCUCCUAGAAGAAGAUUGUGAAAGGCAAAAUGUAGAAAAAAAGGCUUCCCAUGAGAGUAACAUUCGAAGACAAUGAGAAACCAGCCUGUUCAGAAUGUAGAUAUUGAUCGCGAAGACGGCAGCACUACAUUGUACUCCAUCUUUCACCAGACCACACGCCCAAGAACCCUAAUUUCAACGGCUGGGAUUUGAUCCAGCGCUUAAGGAUUUUAGCUUUGGGCGCGCGAUAUCGGGGAUCGGGCCCCUCGAGGAGCUGGAACGGGGAGCGAAAUGCCGGUGGCGAUGGAUCCUCCAGCUCCUCGGCCGUGGUAAUCUAUAGCGUGCCGGGCGGAUUGAGGGAUCCAGGGCGAUUGUGGGUGUCGUGGAGCAAUGGGAACCAGCUCCAGCUCUCUUAUAGCGAGAAUGCUGUGGGAGGCGGUGGAAGAGUCACGGAGAUUCAUCUGGGAGAAGGAUGGGAUGCGAGAGGCGGCGACUGGCGUAUGAUUCUCUCCCGGCUUUUGCUCUUCUCCAGAACCAGCGGCAAUUGGGCUACAACCCAGGCGCCUGGUAUGAAAAAUUCUUCAUUUUUUCUCUAGAAACGCUAGUUGUGAUCGCAGGUGGGAGCAUGUUUUAGAAUAUAACAAGAGCAUUCGCAGCGUUCUCGACCAGCCCACCCAAGGCAAGGUUAGCCAUUGUAUCAUGCGUGAGAGGAUGAUGUGAAAGAUUUAUUUGAUUGUUUUUUUUCUUGCAGGAGGAGAAGUCCUCGAUGCUUAAGGCUGUGUGGGAGCUCAUAGAAGUUUUCUAUGUGGACAGAAGCGCGACAUGGUGGCUUCCGGAGAGUCUUGUAGAUUGGCUGGCGGUAAGAAGCAGUGAGUUUUUUCUUGACUUAUGAUUCAUUUGCCUGUGAGCUUUGCAGGAGUAUGACAGGAGUCCUCUUGAGUGAUGAAGACACUUUACAUUCCAAGGUAGUGUCGUUCCAGCAGAAGCUUUCCGAGAUUCAAGUAAGUUCGAAGUCUUGCAGCUUUUUGUUUUCUCUUUGUGUAUCAUUCUUUAACGUGCACUUGCAGUUUCGGCCUUGUCAGUCGGAUGGCUUGACGUUGUUGGACUGUCCGUGUAAGUUCAAUUGGUAAUCUUAAUCUUCCAGAUAGCGUUCUUGCGGAUGCAUGGAUCGUAUCGAUUGGAUCAACUUGAUGACCGGCAGGUUUCUUUCUCCAUGCUGUUUUGUUGGACUUGCGUUAACUUCCGGAUGCUUUUUUAUGUCUUGGCAGACUGAAAAUGGCCUCGUAGAAGCAGCUACACUGCUCAUUAUGCAAAUGCCGCGGCUGUGCCCGAGGCUCCCUGAUGGAAGUCCUGGUGUUGCUAUAGGUUUUAAGCCUGACUUUUCUAAGGUUUGAUGUGGUUGCAGCAAAGUUUUUAGUUUCUCAGAUUUUAUUACAUGCAGGCAAGGGGAAAAUGGCGAAGUCAGGUUUCCAAGCUUGAAAAUAGUGUGUUUUGGGCGGAAUGCAACCACCGUGGGACGCUUCUUGGUCUUAAGAAGCUAAUACAGGUGCUAUUGGGAAACGUUGAUGUUCUACAGCUCUCUACGUUUCACUGGAUGGAGCUGCUGGUGGCCUUUUUCUUUGGUGUGUAUGAACUGUGUAGUGUGCUAAGUUCACUUGCAAUUAUCGGGUGCAGGUCUUAGAUGGAAUGCGUAGCAUAGCUUCCAAGUGCAAAGGAUUGAAAAGUUCUGGGGACGAAGACCUUCAAGAACUUUUAUCUGCAGUUAUCAGCAACGACACCGAGGUAAAUGCUCUUCCCCGUCACAGUGGAGUUUAAUCUAGUACUAUACAGAUACUCUUGGCGAAGUGUUGGAAGGUUUUCAAUGCCUGGUAAGAACUUCUCAUGUCGAAUAUUUACAUAAAUUUUCUAUCAGGAUGAUGGCGCAUGUUAAAGGGGAGGACGUUCGAUAUCUUCUUGAAGAAGACAGGAAAACUCUAGGCGGCUUUGAAAGAACUCCAUCGUUUGGUUUAUUCUCAAGUACUGUCUUCGCACAGCUUAACCUUUGAUUUCUUUGUUCUUGAUGUCUGUCUAACAAUUAUCUCAGCUAGCACCUGUUUACCUCGCGGCUUGCCCAAAGCAAGGCCUGGGAUUGAAGCUCUCCUAAUGAAGCAGAGUUGUUCCAAUCAGAAACUGGCAUUGAAUGUUGGUCUUGGUGUGACGAUUUCUUGAAUCUCAAUGUGAAUUUUGUGCAACAGGCACUAGAGAUAUGCCGCCUCUAUGAACUUGAUACCGUGAGCACAGCCAUCGCCAGGGUUUAGUAUCCUCUUCCUUUCCAGGCUUGGGGUUGUCACCUGUGUUUUAUGUCUUCCAGGCUGUUGGUGUUCAUAGUUUUAAAACAUGGAAAGAAGGGCCAAGGGAUAAUGUGGCUUAAUUGGCCCGAGACGAGCAGAGGCUUUCUGAUCUUGCAGAUAGCUUUUGAACACAAUAACGUCUGGUGAAGCUGAUAAUCUGGAUAAUCUCGAGGUGACUUCUAACUUCACGCAGGUACAAAAGCUUCAAGGCAGCGCUGCAAAACAUCAGAGAUCUGCGUCGUAGGGAGGCUUCCUACACCGAAAACCUCGCUGCGCGAGGCAGAGCAGCGGUGACUUCUCUUCUCCAGGUUACCAAUCCGUUCGGAACUUCUUCUUGCUCACUAAAACCCCGGCUUGCAGCUUCUAAAAUCUGGAACCUUUCCACGUAAAUUCUGGCUGUCCUUGCUCCAAGAAUCGGUAUGGAGCUGUU